UAGAGUUUGAUCCUGGCUCAGGAUGAACGCUGGCGGCGUGCUUAACACAUGCAAGUCGAACGGAGUUUAGAGAGCUUGCUCUUUAAACUUAGUGGCGGACGGGUGAGUAACGCGUGGGUAACCUGCCUUUCACUGGGGGAUAACAGUUAGAAAUGACUGCUAAUACCGCAUAAGCGCACGGGAUCGCAUGAUCUAGUGUGAAAAACUCCGGUGGUGAAAGAUGGACCCGCGUCUGAUUAGCUAGUUGGUGAGGUAACGGCCCACCAAGGCGACGAUCAGUAGCCGGCCUGAGAGGGUGAACGGCCACAUUGGGACUGAGACACGGCCCAAACUCCUACGGGAGGCAGCAGUGGGGAAUAUUGCACAAUGGGGGAAACCCUGAUGCAGCGACGCCGCGUGAGUGAAGAAGUAUUUCGGUAUGUAAAGCUCUAUCAGCAGGGAAGAAAAUGACGGUACCUGACUAAGAAGCCCCGGCUAACUACGUGCC
This 487-nucleotide ribosomal RNA is filed under the name uncultured organism. Its description in RNAcentral is "SSU rRNA". It matches the Rfam family "Bacterial small subunit ribosomal RNA", at positions 1 to 509 of the family's 1533-position model. The record is from RNAcentral.